This 503-nucleotide ribosomal RNA is filed under the name uncultured Glomus. RNAcentral describes it as "SSU rRNA". It matches the Rfam family "Eukaryotic small subunit ribosomal RNA", at positions 569 to 1074 of the family's 1831-position model. The record is from RNAcentral. Lineage: Eukaryota; Fungi; Glomeromycota; Glomeromycetes; Glomerales; Glomeraceae.
AGCAGCCGCGGUAAUUCCAGCUCCAAUAGCGUAUAUUAAAGUUGUUGCAGUUAAAAAGCUCGUAGUUGAAUUUCGGGAUCAUCAGGUUGGUCGUGCCUCUGGUAUGUACUGAUUUCGAUGGUCCCUCCUUCUUGAAGAGCCGUAAUGCCAUUAAUUUGGUGUUGCGGGGAAUCAGGACUGUUACUUUGAAAAAAUUAGAGUGUUUAAAGCAGGCAAUCGCUUGAACACAUUAGCAUGGAAUAAUGAAAUAGGACGUUCGAUCCUAUUUUGUUGGUUUCUAGGAUUGACGUAAUGAUUAAUAGGGAUAGUUGGGGGCAUUAGUAUUCAAUUGUCAGAGGUGAAAUUCUUGGAUUUAUUGAAGACUAACUACUGCGAAAGCAUUUGCCAAGGAUGUUUUCAUUAAUCAAGAACGAAAGUUAGGGGAUCGAAGACGAUCAGAUACCGUCGUAGUCUUAACCAUAAACUAUGCCGACUAGGGAUCGGAUGAUGUUAAUUUUUAAUGA